RNAcentral lists this ribosomal RNA (405 nucleotides) under Potamarcha obscura. RNAcentral's name for it is "partial 12S ribosomal RNA". The record is from RNAcentral. Lineage: Eukaryota; Metazoa; Arthropoda; Insecta; Odonata; Libellulidae.
GAACCUGGGUAGAAAUAGUUAUGUUCUUGAAACCCAAAGAAUUUGGCGGUAUUUUAUUCUUUUUAGAGGAGCCUGUCCUGUAAUUGACAAUCCACGAUAGAUAAUUACUUGUUUUUGUUUUCAUUUUGUAUACCUCCGUCAUCAGAGUAUCUUUUUAGGGAAAAUAUUCAAAUAAUACGAAAUAUAAUAUGUCAGGUCAAGGUGCAAUUUAUGGACAAGUAGAGAUGGGCUACAAUAAAUUUAUUUAUACGAAUUGAUAUUAUUAUAUUUAUCAUGAAGGUGGAUUUAAAAGUAAAAUUAACUCUUUAUUAAUUUGACCUUAGCUCUAAAAUAUGCACACAUCGCCCGUCGCUCUUAUUUUAAAAUAAGAUAAGUCGUAACAUAGUAGGUGUACUGGAAAGUGUA